Molecule: transfer RNA, 64 nt
Filed under: Alphaproteobacteria bacterium
Lineage: Bacteria; Pseudomonadati; Pseudomonadota; Alphaproteobacteria
Description: tRNA-Val
Source: RNAcentral
GCGGGCGCGCUUAAAAAAAAGCGCCGCCUACGGCGGCAGGGUUCGAUUCCCAUCGCCCGCUCCA